This 118-nucleotide ribosomal RNA is filed under the name Microcebus murinus (gray mouse lemur). Lineage: Eukaryota; Metazoa; Chordata; Mammalia; Primates; Cheirogaleidae. The record is from RNAcentral.
GUCUAUGGCCAUACCACCCUGAACAUGACCAGUCUCUUCUGAUCUCAGAAGCUAAGCAGGGUCAGGCCUGAGACCUAGCACUUGCAUGGGAGUCCUCCCGACAUUCGAUCUUCAGAUU